UCACCACCGUUCGCAGCCACCACGACCGCUCGCAACAACCACCAUCGUCUGACAGGUCUGAUUAGUGGAGCAAUAUCGUAUCUGGUUCAACGUCAUUAGUUAUGGAUGAACAACUCUCAGAGUGAAGCAGAACAGGCAACUGCCCAGGCUAAGGCCGAAGCUCUGGAAAAGACCAGUCAGCUGAUGGAGCAAGCCAGCAAUGCUGCACAGUCCGCCUAAGAGUCGAUGCAGCAUGCUGGCCAGCAGAUUAAGGAAAAGGCACAAGUAGCAACCAAGGCAGUGAAGAACGCAACAGGGAUGAACAAUUGAACCCCGUGGAUCAAGUUUGAUCAACCACCAUCGUUUCUUUUCUUUUGACCAGAAUGUUUUCAGUUCUUUAUAUUUACAAAAUUUUAUAUUAUUUUUAUAAUUUCGUUCUUUUGAGUCAUUGAUUUUGAACCAGAAGAUCUAGAU
RNAcentral lists this long non-coding RNA (453 nucleotides) under Helianthus annuus (common sunflower). RNAcentral's name for it is "sRNA HanXRQr2_Chr09g0404581". The record is from RNAcentral. Lineage: Eukaryota; Viridiplantae; Streptophyta; Magnoliopsida; Asterales; Asteraceae.